CAAGAGCGUAUGUAAAAGUUGUUGCAGUUAAAAAGCUCGUAGUUGAACCUUGGGUUUGGUUGGCCGGUCCGCUUUUUUGCGAGUACUGGAUUCAACCGAGCCUUUCCUUCUGGCUAACCAGUCGUUUCGGCGGCUGGCGAACCAGGAUUUUUACUUUGGGAAAAUUAGAGUGUUCAAAGCAGGCAUUAGCUUGAAUAUAUUAGCAUGGAAUAAUAGAAUAGGACGUUAUGGUUCUAUUUUGUUGGUUUCUAGGACCAUCGUAAUGAUUAAUAGGGACGGUCGGGGGCAUCAGUAUUCAGUUGUCAGAGGUGAAAUUCUUGGAUUUACUGAAGACUAACUACUGCGAAAGCAUUUGCCAAGGACGUUUUCAUUAA
RNAcentral lists this ribosomal RNA (374 nucleotides) under uncultured eukaryote. RNAcentral's name for it is "partial 18S ribosomal RNA". It matches the Rfam family "Eukaryotic small subunit ribosomal RNA", at positions 592 to 976 of the family's 1831-position model. The record is from RNAcentral.